GACGAACGCUGGCGGCGUGCUUAACACAUGCAAGUCGAACGAAGAGCGAUGGAAGCUUGCUUCUAUCAAUCUUAGUGGCGAACGGGUGAGUAACGCGUAAUCAACCUGCCCUUCAGAGGGGGACAACAGUUGGAAACGACUGCUAAUACCGCAUACGAUCUAAUCUCGGCAUCGAGGAUAGAUGAAAGGUGGCCUCUACAUGUAAGCUAUCACUGAAGGAGGGGAUUGCGUCUGAUUAGCUAGUUGGAGGGGUAACGGCCCACCAAGGCGACGAUCAGUAGCCGGUCUGAGAGGAUGAACGGCCACAUUGGGACUGAGACACGGCCCAGACUCCUACGGGAGGCAGCAGUGGGGAAUCUUCCGCAAUGGACGAAAGUCUGACGGAGCAACGCCGCGUGAGUGAUGACGGCCUUCGGGUUGUAAAGCUCUGUUAAUCGGGACGAAAGGCC
RNAcentral lists this ribosomal RNA (449 nucleotides) under Veillonella parvula. Its description in RNAcentral is "bacterial SSU rRNA". It matches the Rfam family "Bacterial small subunit ribosomal RNA", at positions 28 to 454 of the family's 1533-position model. The record is from RNAcentral. Lineage: Bacteria; Bacillati; Bacillota; Negativicutes; Veillonellales; Veillonellaceae.